Molecule: long non-coding RNA, 2368 nt
Filed under: Vitis vinifera (wine grape)
Lineage: Eukaryota; Viridiplantae; Streptophyta; Magnoliopsida; Vitales; Vitaceae
Description: long non-coding RNA (VVIN_LNC007321)
Source: RNAcentral
GGCAAUUGAAUUUCAAACCAUUUCCUCCCACUUGGAUCAUAUUUCACCUUUUUUUUUUCCUCGAUUACUUGACCAAAUUUCGCUUUCUUUCAUUAAAUUAUAUUUGUAGGAAUAAACAUAAAAACAAGUUAUCAAGGGAAAAUGGAAACUGCAACCAAAAAAGGCCAUAUAUUUUACUGGAAGAUUGAAAUUAGUCAAUGUGAUGAACUAGGACUUGUUUGAACCCAAAAAUAUAUUUAAGACCACCUAAAUACAUUCUUUUCAUCCUUUCCAGAUCCAUUAUUCUCUUGGAGCAAAAUAACCACGUUGUAAUCUGGGAACAGCAGAAAAGAUCAGUGAGGAUUAUAAAUAAGACUUUGGUUAGAAAAGUACCUGUGGUAACACCAAUUUUCCAUGAAUUGAGAAGGUAAUUCAACAGCAUCCCACUCUAUCCCCCGAAUACCAGAAACCAGACCCUCAUCCUGCUUGGUAAGCAUAUGCUGAAGUGCAUGACCAAAUUCAUGGAAAACAGUCUCAACCUGCAAAACAUGCAUAUAUAUCUAACAAUAUAAGAUUGUGCAUGCACAAACUGAACAAGAUGAUAUUCUAUGUAUAAACAUAACCACCAUCACCCCCACUCUCCCUUUCUCCUCUCCUACCCACCAAAAACGAAAAUAAAACAAAAUAAUCAUCAUCUACCAUAUCUUUAAUACUCAGCAGAUCAUUUCAAGAACAAUGAAGUGCGCCUUUUUUUUAAUACUUAGAUGACAGCCUUUUUAGUGUCUUUUUAUUAUAUUCUCUAUAUAUAAACUGCAUCUACAUAUUUAAAUAGCUUUUUUCCAUCAGAUUUAUCAUUACAAAUAGUAAUCAAUGAAGACUGUAUCAUCUAACCCAAAUCUUUGAAGUCAAUUAGACAUACAAUCUGACCCGACAGACCACUAAGCCAGCCCCUGAACUGGAUGAAGGGCCAGACAGGCAAAGCUGCCAAUUGCUCCCUGAUGUCAUCUUUGGUAGUAAUCACCUCAAAAAAAUUUAAAUAAAUAAAACCCAAACAAAAAAAAACAAAAAAAAAAAAAGAAAAGCAAAGAAAAAAACAAGAGAGAGAGAGAGAGAGAUUAAAGCAGCUUGAGAUAGAAACAAUGUGUUAGGUUUACCAUUUACCUCACGGAAUGUCAUAAGGCUUGGUUUAUUUCCCACUGGUGGUGUUUGAUUGCACACCAUAUGAGCAAUAGGCAACCUAGCUUUGGUACCAUCACGUGACAAUGCACGACUGCGAGCAACAACCUCAUCCAUCCAUGCACCUCCCCGUUUCUCAGAUGGACGAGAAUAUGGAUCAAAGUAAAAAUAUGCAAUUGGACUACCUGCAGUGUCUUUCACACAGUAGAAUCUCACAUCAUUGUUCCAAACCUAAGGAGCAAAAACCAUAUAUGAUUAGAAGUGGAAACCAUCACUUUAGGAUAGAAGGAUAUCAAAUAAAAGGCAAUUUAAAUAUAUUACUGGAGCAAGACCAUCAGCUGGCUCAAUGUCAAUUCCAAAAAGCAUCUUAGCAAGGCUGAAAAGGACCACCCAUGACCUUUGGCAAUGAGAAAUAGGGGCGUAGUUCCUCCUGUUGGAUUUUAAAACAAAAAAAUAAAUAAGUUUCUCUAUCAGAAAUGAGGGGCUUAUUUACAAUCAGGAAAAAAAACCCACAAAGAAAUAGGAAUUUUAACCCUAAUCACAUAUUAGAGAAANNNNNNNNNNNNNNNNNNNNNNNNNNNNNNNNNNNNNNNNNNNNNNNNNNNNNNNNNNNNNNNNNNNNNNNNNNNNNNNNNNNNNNNNNNNNNNNNNNNNCAAGUGCUGCUUCUUUACUACAUUGAAUUUCAAAUUUUACGGCAAUUGAAUUUCAAACCAUUUCCUCCCACUUGGAUCAUAUUUCACCUUUUUUUUUUCCUCCAUUACUUGACCAAAUUUCACUUUCUUUCAUUAAAUUAUAUUUGUAGGAAUAAACAUAAAAACAAGUUAUCAAGGGAAAAUGGAAACUGCAACCAAAAAAGGCCAUAUAUUUUACUGGAAGAUUGAAAUUAGUCAAUGUGAUGAACUAGGACUUGUUUGAACCCAAAAAUAUAUUUAAGACCACCUAAAUACAUUCUUUUCAUCCUUUCCAGAUCCAUUAUUCUCUUGGAGCAAAAUAACCACGUUGUAAUCUGGGAACAGCAGAAAAGAUCAGUGAGGAUUAAAAAUAAGACUUUGGUUAGAAAAGUACCUGUGGUAACACCAAUUUUCCAUGAAUUGAGAAGGUAAUUCAACAGCAUCCCACUCUAUCCCCCGAAUACCAGAAACCAGACCCUCAUCCUGCUUGGUAAGCAUAUGCUGAAGUGCAUGACCAAAUUCAUGGAAAACAGUCUCAACC